RNAcentral lists this ribosomal RNA (311 nucleotides) under uncultured Synechococcus sp. RNAcentral describes it as "bacterial SSU rRNA". It matches the Rfam family "Bacterial small subunit ribosomal RNA", at positions 434 to 762 of the family's 1533-position model. The record is from RNAcentral. Lineage: Bacteria; Bacillati; Cyanobacteriota; Cyanophyceae; Synechococcales; Synechococcaceae.
UUCUCAAGGAAGAAGAUCUGACGGUACUUGAGGAAUAAGCCACGGCUAAUUCCGUGCCAGCAGCCGCGGUAAUACGGGAGUGGCAAGCGUUAUCCGGAAUUAUUGGGCGUAAAGCGUCCGCAGGUGGCCUUUCAAGUCUGUUGUUAAAACGUGGAGCUUAACUCCAUCAUGGCAGUGGAAACUGUUGGGCUUGAGUGUGGUAGGGGCAGAGGGAAUUCCCGGUGAAGCGGUGAAAUGCGUAGAUAUCGGAAAGAACACCAGUGGCGAAGGCGCUCUGCUGGACCAUUACUGACACUCAUGGACGAAAGCCA